RNAcentral lists this long non-coding RNA (217 nucleotides) under Mytilus galloprovincialis (Mediterranean mussel). The record is from RNAcentral. Lineage: Eukaryota; Metazoa; Mollusca; Bivalvia; Mytilida; Mytilidae.
GUGCUCUUCGGGUCUAGGCAGAAACAAACUUCUCUAUAACUUUGUCAAUAUUCACACUGAAAUCCCGAUGACUAUAUAUAUGCAGUAAUGCUAGUAACUGUCGUUGUUCAUUGUUGGUCGUACAUUUGUUUUCAACUUACGUAGUGCAAUGAUAGAUCUCCAUGGCAGCACUAGCGAGAUGUUAUAAACCAGCGUACGUGUUCGGCAUUUAGAGACC